UACGUAGGGUGCAAGCGUUAAUCGGAAUUACUGGGCGUAAAGCGUGCGCAGGCGGCUUUGCAAGACAGAUGUGAAAUCCCCGGGCUUAACCUGGGAACUGCAUUUGUGACUGCAUGGCUGGAGCGCGGCAGAGGGGGAUGGAAUUCCGCGUGUAGCAGUGAAAUGCGUAGAUAUGCGGAGGAACACCGAUGGCGAAGGCAAUCCCCUGGGCCUGCACUGACGCUCAUGCACGAAAGCGUGGGGAGCAAACAGG
RNAcentral lists this ribosomal RNA (253 nucleotides) under uncultured bacterium. RNAcentral's name for it is "partial 16S ribosomal RNA". It matches the Rfam family "Bacterial small subunit ribosomal RNA", at positions 524 to 776 of the family's 1533-position model. The record is from RNAcentral.